GCACUGCUGAGCAGUCCCACAACAGGACGAAACGGCCGUCCAGUGC
This is a non-coding RNA of Schistosoma mattheei, 46 nucleotides long. The record is from Rfam. Lineage: Eukaryota; Metazoa; Platyhelminthes; Trematoda; Strigeidida; Schistosomatidae.